UGGCAACACAGAAUAAGAAUGAUGGA
This 26-nucleotide non-coding RNA is filed under the name Homo sapiens (human). The record is from RNAcentral. Lineage: Eukaryota; Metazoa; Chordata; Mammalia; Primates; Hominidae.